UACGUAGGGGGCAAGCGUUGUCCGGAAUUAUUGGGCGUAAAGAGCGCGUAGGCGGUCUGAUAAGUCCGCUGUGAAAGUCGGGGGCUCAACCCUCGAAUGCCGGUGGAUACUGUCGGGCUAGAGUGCGGAAGAGGCGAGUGGAAUUCCUGGUGUAGCGGUGAAAUGCGCAGAUAUCAGGAGGAACACCUAUUGCGAAGGCAGCUCGCUGGGACGUAACUGACGCUGAGACGCGAAAGCGUGGGGAGCAAACAGG
Molecule: ribosomal RNA, 253 nt
Filed under: uncultured bacterium
Lineage: Bacteria
Description: partial 16S ribosomal RNA
Rfam family: Bacterial small subunit ribosomal RNA
Source: RNAcentral